CUGAUGACCAGGACAGAUGGAGGCAGGACAUUUCUUCUUGCCCAUCCUUACUUCCUCACAUGCCUGCCUGGAUCAUGGACUGGAUGGCUAGAGCUUUGGAAAUUGAUUUUGACAUUUCCACUCUCACGGGAAGAUUCUGAUGGAAGACAUUCCGUACAGCUGAAUGACUGUGUGACUUGAGGUGGACUCAGAAGUCCUCGAGAAAAAUAAAUGAAGUGACCAAGG
This is a long non-coding RNA of Herpailurus yagouaroundi (jaguarundi), 225 nucleotides long. RefSeq lists it as uncharacterized. The transcript is spliced from 2 exons. Lineage: Eukaryota; Metazoa; Chordata; Mammalia; Carnivora; Felidae. The record is from RefSeq and is a predicted model, not a curated record.